GGGCUCCGGGUCCCCCCCCUUUCCCUGAGGGGCAUUUUUGGGGGGCUUCAGAUCCCCCCCCCUCCUUGGGGGGCAUUUUUGGGUAACUGCAGCCCCCCCCUAUAGAUGGCACUGCCCCAUUCGGAGCCCCCCCCGCACCCCCACCCCCCCCGGCGCCGCUUUUCCCUUUGGGUUUUCCAGUUGUGCCUUAACCGGGGAGCAGCGCUCAGUGGGACACCAAUGGGACCCCCCGUGUGACACCGAGGGGACACCAAUGGGACCCCAAUGGGACACCGGGACCCCCAGUGUGACACCAAUGGGACCCCAGUGAGACCCCCUGUGUGACACCAAGGGGACACCAAUGGGACACCAACGGGACCCCAGUGAGACCCCCAGUGUGACACCAAUGGGACCCCAAUGGGACCCCCCGUGUGACUCCAAUGGGACACCAACGGGACACCAAUGGGACACCGGGACCCCCAGUGUGACACCAAUGGGACCCCAGUGAGACCCCCAGUGUGACACCGAGGGGACACCGAGGGGACACCGGGACCCCCAGUGUGACUCCAAUGGGACACCAAUGGGACACCAAUGGGACCCCAGUGAGACCCCCAGUGUGACUCCAAUGGGACCCCAGUGAGACCCCCAGUGUGACUCCAAUGGGACACCAACGGGACACCGGGACCGCCAGUGUGAUACCAGUGGGACCCCAGUGAGACCCCCAGUGUGACACCGAGGGGACACCGAGGGGACCCCAAUGGGACCCCAGUGUGACUCCAAGGGGACACCAAUGGUUCCCCCAGUGUGACACCGAGGAGACACCAAUGGAACACCAAGAAGACACCAAUGGGACCCCCAGUGUGACACCAGUGGGACACCAAUGGGACACCAAUGGGACACCAAUGGGACACUGGGACCCAAAGUGUGACACCGAGAGGACCCCCAGUGUGACACCAAUGGGACACCAAUGGGACA
RNAcentral lists this long non-coding RNA (954 nucleotides) under Gallus gallus (chicken). The record is from RNAcentral. Lineage: Eukaryota; Metazoa; Chordata; Aves; Galliformes; Phasianidae.